Molecule: ribosomal RNA, 498 nt
Filed under: uncultured bacterium
Lineage: Bacteria
Description: partial 16S ribosomal RNA
Rfam family: Bacterial small subunit ribosomal RNA
Source: RNAcentral
GACGAACGCUGGCGGCAUGCCUAACACAUGCAAGUCGAACGGAGAUUAUUUCGGUAAUCUUAGUGGCGAACGGGUGAGUAACGCGUGGGCAACCUGCCCUCUAGAUGGGGACAACAUCCCGAAAGGGGUGCUAAUACCGAAUGUGACAGCAAUCUCGCAUGAGGUUGCUGUGAAAGAUGGCCUCUAUUUAUAAGCUAUCGCUAGAGGAUGGGCCUGCGUCUGAUUAGCUAGUUGGUGGGGUAACGGCCUACCAAGGCGAUGAUCAGUAGCCGGUCUGAGAGGAUGAACGGCCACAUUGGGACUGAGACACGGCCCAGACUCCUACGGGAGGCAGCAGUGGGGAAUCUUCCGCAAUAGGCGAAAGCCUGACGGAGCAAUGCCGCGUGAGUGAUGAAGGAAUUCGUUCCGUAAAGCUCUUUUGUUUAUGACGAAUGUGCAGAUUGUGAACAAUGAUCUGUAAUGACGGUAGUAAACGAAUAAGCCACGGCUAACUACGUG